GACGAACGCUGGCGGCGUGCUUAACACAUGCAAGUCGAGCGGUAAGGCCCUUUCGGGGGUACACGAGCGGCGAACGGGUGAGUAACACGUGGGUGACCUGCCCUUAGCUCUGGGAUAAGCCUGGGAAACUGGGUCUAAUACCGGAUAUGACUCCAUGACGCAUGUUGUGGGGUGGAAAGCCUUGUGCGGCCAGGGAUGGGCCCGCGGCCUAUCAGCCUGUUGGUGGGGUGAUGGCCUACCAAGGCGACGACGGUAGCCGGCCUGAGAGGGCGACCGGCCACACUGGGACUGAGACACGGCCCAGACUCCUACGGGAGGCAGCAGUGGGAAUCUUGCGCAAUGGGCGAAAGCCUGACGCAGCGACGCCGCGUGAGGGAUGACGGCCU
This 386-nucleotide ribosomal RNA is filed under the name uncultured bacterium. RNAcentral describes it as "bacterial SSU rRNA". It matches the Rfam family "Bacterial small subunit ribosomal RNA", at positions 28 to 417 of the family's 1533-position model. The record is from RNAcentral.